Mesocricetus auratus (golden hamster) is the source of this 123-nucleotide small nucleolar RNA. Its record names the gene SNORA70. It matches the Rfam family "Small nucleolar RNA SNORA70". Rfam says of the family: snoRNA U70 seems to be exclusive to mammals and is a member of the H/ACA class of snoRNA which contain H (ANANNA) and ACA box motifs. NCBI's taxonomy places the organism in Eukaryota, Metazoa, Chordata, Mammalia, Rodentia, Cricetidae. The record is from Ensembl.
CUGCAGCCAAUUAAGCCAACCAGAUUUCUUUCACAGAGACCUGUGUGCAAUGGCUGCAAACAGCAUCCUCCUUGAGAAUGUAUGCAGUCUGUUGUUUGUUGGAUUGCCCCAAGAGAAACAGAG